This 569-nucleotide ribosomal RNA is filed under the name uncultured bacterium. RNAcentral's name for it is "partial 16S ribosomal RNA". It matches the Rfam family "Bacterial small subunit ribosomal RNA", at positions 355 to 914 of the family's 1533-position model. The record is from RNAcentral.
UGGGGAAUAUUGCACAAUGGGCGCAAGCCUGAUGCAGCCAUGCCGCGUGUGUGAAGAAGGCCUUCGGGUUGUAAAGCACUUUCAGCGAGGAGGAAGGUGGUGAACUUAAUACGUUCAUCAAUUGACGUUACUCGCAGAAGAAGCACCGGCUAACUCCGUGCCAGCAGCCGCGGUAAUACGGAGGGUGCAAGCGUUAAUCGGAAUUACUGGGCGUAAAGCGCACGCAGGCGGUUUGUUAAGUCAGAUGUGAAAUCCCCGGGCUCAACCUGGGAACUGCAUUUGAAACUGGCAAGCUAGAGUCUCGUAGAGGGGGGUAGAAUUCCAGGUGUAGCGGUGAAAUGCGUAGAGAUCUGGAGGAAUACCGGUGGCGAAGGCGGCCCCCUGGACGAAGACUGACGCUCAGGUGCGAAAGCGUGGGGAGCAAACAGAUUAGAUACCCUGGUAGUCCAGCGCUGUAAAACGAUGUCGAUUUGGAGGUUGUGCCCUUGAGGCGUGGCUUCCGGAGCUAACGCGUUAAAUCGACCGCCUGGGGGAGUACGGCCGCAAGGUUAAAACUCAAAGGAAUUGAC